Sciurus vulgaris (Eurasian red squirrel) is the source of this 113-nucleotide small nuclear RNA. The record is from Ensembl. Lineage: Eukaryota; Metazoa; Chordata; Mammalia; Rodentia; Sciuridae.
GUACUCACUUUGUCAGCACACAUACAAAAAUUGGAACCAUAUAGAGAAGAUUAGCAUGGUCCCUGUGCGAGGACAAUUGGCAAAUCGUGAAGUGUUCUGGAGACCCUGUGUCU